Small nuclear RNA from Octodon degus (degu), 107 nucleotides. The record is from Ensembl. Lineage: Eukaryota; Metazoa; Chordata; Mammalia; Rodentia; Octodontidae.
GUGCUGGCUCCAGCAACAUGUAUACUAAAACUGGAAUGAUACAGCGAAGAUUAGCACAUCCCCUGCGCAAGGAGGACACGCAAAUUCAUGAAGCGUUUCGUAUUUUU